This 243-nucleotide long non-coding RNA is filed under the name Gossypium raimondii (Peruvian cotton). RNAcentral describes it as "long non-coding RNA (GRAI_LNC007793)". The record is from RNAcentral. Lineage: Eukaryota; Viridiplantae; Streptophyta; Magnoliopsida; Malvales; Malvaceae.
GCUAAUGGUCAUUCGGGCUAGGGCUGGUAACUUGGGCUUAGGUUAGUUGGGCUUGUAAUUUUUGAUUUGGGACUGUAAUGGGAUUCUUUUAUUGUAUUUGGUUUUGUUUGGUUUUUUAUUUAUUUAUCUGGAUUUAGGUAUGCUUUGGGCUUGGUCAAAAUAAGCCUAUUACAGCUGCCCCCUCUUUGCUCGUUGUCGUGUAACGAGAAUGGAGCAAAGACUUUAAAAAUGGCCUAUUUUGCC